Molecule: RNA transcript, 2931 nt
Organism: Carya illinoinensis
Lineage: Eukaryota; Viridiplantae; Streptophyta; Magnoliopsida; Fagales; Juglandaceae
Gene name: E3 ubiquitin-protein ligase MBR2
Exons: 8
Source: RefSeq, a predicted model, not a curated record
GAUCAGUCAUCAGUGUAUCUCUCUACUCCCUCUCUCUCUCUCUCUCUCUCUUUCUCUCUCUGUCAUCUCCCUUCAAGUGCUAGCGCUUUAGUUUUGUCAGGAACCCGAAUUUGAUCGCGCGGCUCACCGAUCAUCUCCUUUUGUCCUCAAUCCCUCAUCUCUCCGCAUUCCUUGCAGUGCGCCUGAGAAGUGUUUGAUGUGAGCCAGCACUCGUAUCAGAAACUGGAAUAUUGUUUAGCAUCAUACACACUUUAUUCAGUGGAAUAGAUUUGCCCUGAUGCAAGGGCAAAGGAUUACGUUGGAUUCCUUCUCUGAAGUGGUUGAUAUUAGGCAGGGCUCUGUUUCUAACAGCACUGGUAUGAGUCAGCAGACUUCUUUGAAUAGCGCUCUAGCUCCUGUAGAAAGGGUAUUAUCAAAUUAUAGGGUAUCUUCUGGUGAGACAACGUGUCUGAAUGUUAGUACUCUUGAUGUUCCAAGCUUUAGUGGCUGGAAUACGGGUGAAACUAGCUCUAGAAUGAAUCCACAAAACCAAGUGAAUGAUAAUGGGAUAAAAAUUGAACAAGGGUGGUCUUCCUCACUCGAUAUUCAUUCUGGGGCUGAUCCAAGGUUGGAGGAAGGGCCAGUUGAAGUAAAUAAUAUCCCUUUUCCUGGGAGACUUAAUAUUGGCCUUGGUGGCAAUCGGAUUAGAAGAGUGCCUUUGUUCAUGGAAGGCUCCAGUUCUUACCAUGUCCCUCAAAAUGUGAAUCUAAAUGCAGAUUAUUUGGGUAACAGUGGGAAUAGUGGCCGGGUUAUAGGAUCUGGUUUAGGCCUUAACCUUAACAAGUCAAGUGGAGUAGAAAUAGAGCAGGCAUCUUCUGCCAGCGGUUUAUCUGAUAAUGUUGGGUCCUCAUCUGGAAGCUCCAGCUAUAUGGUGGAGGACAGUACUGGUGGCUCAGGCUCUUCUUUGGGGACCUGGGGUUUAUCCUGCAAGAGAAAGGCCGUUGAAGGGACUCCUGGGCAGUCUUAUCCUGGUGGAAGUUCUAACUCCUUUCCGCAGGCUGAAAAUGUUGAAUGGCAUAGUGGCUUAUUUACACCCUCACAGGAUUCUCCUAAUGUGAGUCCUUCAGAACAGCAGAACCUAAGCAUUGGGAUUGGUAUAAGAGCGGGGACUUCUGACGCCUAUCCUUCUUUACAUGUUACCGGUAAUGCAGAAAUCCCCUUCAGAAACUUCAGUAGGAGACCAAGUUCUGGAAAUCAGCAGGAAGCAGUACCACUUAAUUUAUCUUCAACAGGGAGUAUUAGGCAUUCAAAUAUUUUCUCCCCUCAUCAAUCAUCUAGAUCUGUUCCAUUUGGUGAAUCUGUGGACCUGAGACCUGCAGCAGUAGCCUCAGCUAGUUCUAGUGGUCUCCCAAGCCAGACUCAUGCUAUGCAUAUUCCUAGUUUUUCAGGAAACAUGCAUCCUUUUCAUUGGAAUGGGGCUUCCACUUUGGCUUCCACUUCAAGAGUGGGUGGCUUUUCAAAUACUCUAAACACGGGAGAGGGAGGCCCAGCGUUGAGAGAAGAAUCAAACUUAAGAAGCAUUGCAAGAAACAAUACGGAGCACCACAUGUUUGUUCCUGCAACUGAUGUGAGAAAUUCUGCAAAUGAUCCAACAAGUUGGAGUUUGGGUUCUAGAAACAUAGGCAAUUCUGGAAGUGUUCCUUCCACUGCUAGAGUUGGUCCCAGUUCAAGCAUCCAUUCACUGCCUAAUCCUACCUGGAUUCCUCCCCACAAUCCCCCAGCACGAAAUCUGUAUAGACUAGGAGAAUUUUCCUGGUCUUUGUUUCCCCCCAAUGACUCAGAAUCUGGAGGUCAUAGUAGUCAUUUUACAUCAUUACCUCCAGGCCCUUCUACUUCUUCACAAGAUACAGUGAUGUCAUCUGGACUUAAUAGCCAGGGGCAUCACCAACAAUAUCCGAGGGCAGCAUUCUUCACGGAGAGACAAGCCGAUGAUGUUCUUGGUGUGCCUCAUUCUAUGCGAGCUUUAGCUGUUGACAUUGAAGGUAGACGACGACUGAUAUCUGAGAUCCGACAAGUCUUGAGUGCCAUGCGUAGGGGUGAGAACUUACGAGUUGAGGACCAUAUGCUUUUUGACCCGUUCAUAUAUCAUGGUAUGGCCGAUAUGCAUGACAGGCACAGGGAUAUGCGGCUUGAUGUAGAUAACAUGUCUUAUGAGGAACUGCUGGCAUUGGAAGAACGCAUAGGAGAUGUGAGCACUGGACUGGGCGAGGAUGCCAUUUUGAAGCUCAUGAAACAGCGAAAACAUGCAACCGCUGCGAUGGAAUUCCUUCCAGACUUAGAACCAUGCUGUAUCUGUCAGGAGGAAUAUGCCGAUGGUGAUGAUCUUGGGACACUCGAUUGUGGGCAUGAUUUCCACACCAACUGCGUCAAACAGUGGCUAAUGCAGAAGAAUCUAUGCCCCAUUUGUAAAACAACGGCCUUGUUCACAUGAGAGGCCCGGAGGUUAUCUUGUUCUCGAACUGCAUGCAUGGUUUCACGAAAACAAACAGCUUUUCAAGGUUCGGGGAGGGAGUUACACAAGUUGAUGGCAGUUUCAGAAUUUGGAGAGCAUGCCGGAAUCUUAGCCUUUUCUACUUGAUUCAUAUAAACGGCCACCUCUUGGUUUUGUGCUGUUUCAUAUUUACGAUGACGUGCACGUAAAUUUUCGUUAGCUUUUCUCCAUCAAGAGAAGCUGCUGAAACUAGCCGCUUUCUGUGUUGCUCGUAACGCCCCCGGACGUCCUCUCCAGCUUGCUAAUCACAGUUUUAAAUUUCGUUCCCAGUAUUUUCCGGUCUAGCUUCUGGUAUACCAUACCUCUUCGUUCUGUUUUACUCUAAAUUUUGGCCUGUUCUACUCUGUUUCAGCCAUUCUAGCUGAAAUUAGCAUUUCGGGUCCUAUUCGAAACUGUUUUUA